RNAcentral lists this transfer RNA (79 nucleotides) under Pleodorina starrii. RNAcentral describes it as "tRNA-Val". The stretch from base 8 to 64 matches the Rfam family "tRNA", at positions 8 to 63 of the family's 71-position model. From Rfam's summary of the family: Transfer RNA (tRNA) molecules are approximately 80 nucleotides in length. Lineage: Eukaryota; Viridiplantae; Chlorophyta; Chlorophyceae; Chlamydomonadales; Volvocaceae. The record is from RNAcentral.
GCCAGCGUAGCUCAAUUGGUAGAGCACUCGCUUGACAAUUCGGUGGUCAUGGGUUCGAUCCCAUGCGGUCGAAUUGGUA